Molecule: ribosomal RNA, 484 nt
Filed under: uncultured bacterium
Lineage: Bacteria
Description: bacterial SSU rRNA
Rfam family: Bacterial small subunit ribosomal RNA
Source: RNAcentral
GAUGAACGCUAGCGGCAGGCUUAACACAUGCAAGUCGAGGGGUAUAGUUCUUCGGAAUUAGAGACCGGCGCACGGGUGCGUAACGCGUAUGCAAUCUACCUUUCACAGAGGGAUAGCCCCAGAGAAAUUUGGAUUAAUACCUCAUAGUAUAGCAGUUUCGCAUGAAACCACUAUUAAAGUCACAACGGUGAAAGAUGAGCAUGCGUCCCAUUAGCUAGUUGGUAAGGUAACGGCUUACCAAGGCAACGAUGGGUAGGGGUCCUGAGAGGGAGAUCCCCCACACUGGUACUGAGACACGGACCAGACUCCUACGGGAGGCAGCAGUGAGGAAUAUCGGACAAUGGGCGCAAGCCUGAUCCAGCCAUGCCGCGUGCAGGAUGACGGUCCUAUGGAUUGUAAACUGCUUUUAUACAGGAAGAACACUACUUCGUGAAGUAGCUUGACGGUACUGUAAGAAUAAGGAUCGGCUAACUCCGUGCCAGCA